ACACACACACACACACACACACACACAUAUACAGACAUACAUACAUACAUAUGUGUGUGUAUAUGUGUGUGUGUGUGUGUGUGUGUGUGUAU
This 92-nucleotide microRNA precursor is filed under the name Podarcis lilfordi (Lilford's wall lizard). Lineage: Eukaryota; Metazoa; Chordata; Lepidosauria; Squamata; Lacertidae. The record is from RNAcentral.